CUCCGGCUGGAAGAAAGGACGGUCUCCCCCUCGACGGUGACGACCACGACCACGGUAAACUCCGUUGAGAGGGCAGACUCGCCAUUCCACACGGCCGGCUGGACACUCUAAAAACCAGCACAGGUGCGGUGGCUCCCCUCCGUCCGUCUCGUCGAGUUCUCCGAGGAGAGGAGAGGCGAGGCGACAUGGGCUCCAGCAGCCUCCAGCAGACCAACGCGCUCUUCAGGAAGAACCUCGUGAUCCAGAGGCGCGCCUGCAAGACCAACUGCUGCCUCAUCCUCUUCCCCCUGAUCCUCUGCGCGGGCACCGGAGGCCUGCAGAUCGCCAUCAACCGCGCGGUCAAACGAGACACCACCCCUCUCAACUGCAACUGCAGCAAUGCCGUCGUGCCGGCGAACACCACGGGAGGCCCGGCGUGCCCGGAGGGCUGCCCGCAGCCUCGCGCGCCCAAAUGGCCACCCGUGGUGCACAUCCCGCCGUCGGCCACGAGCCGGUUCGGCGGCGGCCCCCCCCGGCACAUCGUGCGGGGCGCAGGGGUCCUGCGCCGCAACGUUCCUCGUCACCGGCGCCAACCAGUCCUUCGUCGGAAGUGCAAUGGGUAACAUGAUCCCGGUUCACGACGCAUCGGUGAACGUGUCGGCCGACGACAUCUCGGCGUUAGCCGAUUUCGUGCUGGCGGGCUAUUCGGGGUAUUCAGGCAGUCCUCUAGUGGACUCCUUUCUUCAGAACAAAUGCACUCCAAACCUGACGCUUUCAUACUCAUUUGUAGACGGCAAUGAAACUGGGACCCAAGAUGUGGAUUGCACGGAGGGAUUAAUGCUCUGGCGCGACAGUUCGUGGCUCAUCAAUGAUGACCUAUAUAGUGGCUACACGAACAGGAGCAAUGAAUUUGCUGCAGCAUACGACUUCUUAAGCUCUGAUCAGGGCAACUUCAACUUGAUCAUUUCAUAUAACUCAACGUACGAGUUUGAUGCUUAUGAUGGCCUUCCAAUCCCUGUCUUCCAAUUUUUUGGAGGGAAUAAACCUAGACUGCUUGAAGUUCCACGGUUAACAAAUAUGGCUUCAAAUGCAUACCUUCGUUUAAUAGGCAAUGGUCUGAAGAUAUCAUUCGAUUUUGUUAAAGAAAUGCCUAGAGCAGGUCGAUCAUGGAGUACAUACGAUCUAACUUCAAUAAUAGGACCGCUGCCUUAUGUAUUGACUAUCCAGCUCCUUUUCCCGGUAAUUUUGACCAACAUUGUAUACGAGAAGCAAAAGAAGCUUAGGAUUAUGAUGAAGAUGCAUGGUCUUGGUGAUUUGCCAUAUUGGACUAUAUCCUAUUGCUAUUUUAUUCUUCUGUCCAUGCUAUACUUGCUGUCCUUCAUGGUAUUUGGUACUGUGUUUGGUUUUACAUUCUUUCGACUGAAUAGUUAUGGCGUACAGUUUGUGUUCUACUUUGCUUAUAUGAGCUUGCAAAUUUCAUUUGCAUUUCUUAUGGCAACAUGGUUCUCAAAUGUGAGAACAGCUGCUGUGACAGGAUAUUUCUACGUGUUUGGGUCCGGCCUUAUAGCAGAUUAUUUUUUCAAGCCCUAUAUCGAAGACAUUUUCAUCUCAAGUAUGCAUGCAAAUUUAUCUUUGUAGAAGUUCAUUAUGCAGUUGUCAUUAUGAUUCUAGGGCUUCUUUGAUGUAAGCUUUUAUUCCAUCACUCAAAUAAUUUGUGUUGCAAUUUUAUAUUUGUUCAUUUCAAGGAAGCUGGAUUAUACUUUUGGAACUUUUCCCUCCAUUUUCUUUGUACCGCAUUGUCUAUGAGUUUUCUCAAUCUGCAUUGCUCGUAAGUCAGAUUGACCGCACAGGGAUGCAGUGGAGUGACCUGAAUGAUCCCAAAAUGGAAUGGCGAGUGUUUUAACCAUAAUGAUACUCGAAUGGAUCCUAUUCCUUUUAUUAUCAUUCUAUCUGGAUCACUUUGGUUCCUUUCAAAGUGGAAUUAGAAAAGCAGUAUUACUUCUUCACUCUCGCCGGGCUGGGAACCGUUCUCAAUCUGCUCAACAGCAGACCACACAGAUUCAAGAGUUCGAAGCUUCCGUUGAAAUGGAGAGAACAGAUGUUAUCAAAGAGAGAGAGAUGGUUGGACAGCUCUUACAAGAACCAAAUAGUAGUUAUUCAGUCAUAUGUGACAACCUUAAGAAAGUGUACCCUGGAAAAGAUGGCAAUUCAAAGAAAAUUGCUGUCAGAGAGUUGUCCCUUUCAAUGGCACGUGGGCAGUGCUUUGGUGUUCUUGGUCCAAAUGGUGCUGGAAAAACCACUCUCAUCAACAUGCUCACUGGAUUUACUAAACCUACGUCUGGCACCGCGUACAUCGAAGGAAUGGACAUAAGGUUGGACAUGGACAAAAUUUAUACAGGAAUUGGUGUUUGUCCCCAGCAUGACUUGCUUUGGGAAAAUCUGACUGGCCGAGAGCAUUUGAUGUUCUACGGCAGGCUCAAGAAACUGAAGGGUGCAAAAUUAGCUCAGGCUAUCGAACAAUCUCUGAAAAGUGUGCGUUUGUUUGACGGUGGUGUUCCCGAUAAGCUUGUACAAAAAUACAGCGGUGGCAUGAAACGUCGUCUCAGCGUCGCCAUCUCUCUAAUUGGUGACCCUAAGGUUGUUUAUAUGGAUGAACCAAGUUCUGGCUUAGAUCCGGCAUCAAGGAAAGACCUAUGGAAAGCCGUCAAGUCUGCCAAACAGGACAGGGCCAUAAUUCUCACGACACAUUCAAUGGAAGAAGCUGAAGUUCUGUGCGAUCGGAUAGGAAUAAUCGCGGAUGGUACCUUGCAGUGCAUUGGAAACUCAAGAGAGCUGAAAACCAAGUACGGAGGCUCAUAUGUGCUGACGAUAACGACCAUGGCGGCUGAGGAGGCGGAGGAGGAGGUGGCAAAGCUAGUCCGGUCCAUCUCGCCGGCGGUGAGCAGGGUGUACCGCAUCUCUGGGACGCAGAGGUUUGAGAUGCCGAAGCAGGAGGUGAGUAUAUCAGCGGUGUUCCAUGUCAUGGAGGACGCGAAGAGCAGGAUGACCAUUCUUGCGUGGGGCCUAUCUGAUACGACUCUGGAGGAUGUGUUCAUCAGAGUUGCCAAGGAGAACGAGGCAUCCUCUGUCAUCUGAUUGGCAAGAUAAUCCGGCCCAGAAGAGUCACUGUUUGUAGUUCAUCACAGUUGCAGCUUCAGAGAUAUCGUUGUGUGGCAAAUUGGCAGUGCACGUAGCUUUAAGUUUUCAAAUGAGUUUGGACUUUGGACUAUGGAAGGUGUAGCUUCAGAUUAUUAGAUAUAUAUGGCAGAAGAACUCAGGGAUAAGGAAAUGCAUUAUAAACGACAAGAAAUAUAUUUAAAGUUAUGUAACGUGGAAACAAAAUCAGAAAUUUGACACAGAAAACUUAUUUGAGAAUCCUAAAAAUGUUUUGAAAAUGAAAUAGUUU
This 3424-nucleotide ribosomal RNA is filed under the name Triticum aestivum (bread wheat). RNAcentral's name for it is "partial small subunit ribosomal RNA". Lineage: Eukaryota; Viridiplantae; Streptophyta; Magnoliopsida; Poales; Poaceae. The record is from RNAcentral.